Long non-coding RNA from Astatotilapia calliptera (eastern happy), 925 nucleotides. Lineage: Eukaryota; Metazoa; Chordata; Actinopteri; Cichliformes; Cichlidae. The record is from Ensembl.
UUUACGUUGCAUGCGUACAUGACUUUCCGACACAGCUUUGCAAUCUCCCCAGCAUGCAGUCUGAUGUCGAUGUCUUCCCUAUAGAUGAUUCCAGAGACUCUGUGAGGCCACUAUUACAAGAUGCGACCUCACAAAAGAUGUUAACGAUGCUGUCAGACCUGACCAGAGCAGUUAACGAACUCCGUGAGGAGGUCAGAGCCAACCGCCAUCCCUGCUGCAAUGAAUCUGUAGAUGCUGGGGUAUUGCCUCUGGAUUUGCCUUUGCACAACAUUGAGGAGCUAAACAAUGCAGGGGCAGCCCUUCAAUCACCGGAGGCAAAUAAGGCAAUGGUGAGGCGCUUUGCCUUGAUUGGAGGGACCACACUGGAGGUGCGAGUCUGCCGCACCGCCAAACGAGCUGGCCUCGGUACUCAAUUGGGCAGGGAAAAAAACAAGGACCAGACAGCAAAAAAUGGCAUUUAAAGAGACAGCGCAGUGCAGAUGCAUAUUUGAUGGCCUGACGCAGCAGGUAGGGGCAAACUCUAUGUCUGAGUUUGUCUUUGCUCAAGCAGUCCAGAAAUGGCUCAGAUAUGCUCCGGAUUGUAAAAAUUAAAAAGUGACGUGAAACAUAGAAAUCUUAAUAGGAAACUUUGUCUUUUAAUAAAAUAUUUUGCAAACGAUACAUGUCUAUUGACCUUUUUUUUUCUUUUCUGUUCUCUGUUACAUGAUGUGUGAUGCUUUCUGUUUUUAGAACUGACUAUCAGAAUCAGAAUACUUUAUUGAUCCCUGGGGGAAAUUAUUUUUUGUUACAGUGCUCCAUUUUAAACCAACAUUAAGACAAGACAGACAAUACGCUAACUAAGAAUAGUACAAUAUGUACAUAUAUAUACAUACAUACAUAAGUCACUUAUAAAUAAAUAGUUGGAAAAGAAACAUGUGUAGUUGUA